Ahaetulla prasina is the source of this 1614-nucleotide RNA transcript. It is a transcript of the gene named centromere protein U, with no coding region annotated. The transcript has 13 exons. The record is from RefSeq and is a predicted model, not a curated record. Lineage: Eukaryota; Metazoa; Chordata; Lepidosauria; Squamata; Colubridae.
UAAGUUUUGAGUUUCGGCGCGGAAAAAAAAGCAGUUUGCAGCCAGGAAGUUGAGCCUGCGCGUCUUUUUUCCCCACCCUCUCUCCCCCUCACGGUUUAUUUUCCCCCUCACGAGACGGGGCGGUUUGGAACCUUGGGAAGGAGUGCGCGAGCCACAGUAACAAGAUGUCAAAGAGAAAAGCAACAAAAGAUUUCAAAAAGAAAUUGGCAGGAUAUCAAGCCAAGCAGUACUCUCAUGGUAAAUUGUUUUCAUCUGAGGAGCCUGAUGUCUCAAGUAUUUUGAAAAUUCCUGGAACCGGGCAAACAGAGGAAACUGAUGACUUAUUUGAUCAUCCUUUACAUAGCACUGCUCUGUCUGUGUAUGAAGAGGGAGAAGAGGCUAAUAAUAGGUACAAGCAGCAUUCAACAAUCAAUGAGCAUACCAGCAGUUCCUCUGAUCCAGAGCUCCCAAAGAAAAAUACAAAGAAAAGAAAAACUAACACUCUGAAAACAAUAGUGAGUACUGAAGAUUCAGAAGAGGAACCUUCAGUAAAGAACACGAUACCCAAGAAAAAGACUAAAUUCCAUGUAAAUAAGAAUGUUUUACCAGAAAGGGAGACAAACUGUCCAGUUUCAGAAAAAGUUCUAAAACAGCCAACAAAAGUUACCAGAUGUGUUACCAAGGAAAAAGUUGUUUUGAAGGAACUUGAAAAGAUAACAACAGAAUACAAAGAAGAAGUGGAACAAGAGAAGUAUAAAAAUGUUAUUGAUAAAUUUCAUGCCAGGCUCAAAGACCAACUCACCGACAUUUCUGCAGAUGCUGAGAAACUGAAAAAUACAAAAUUGAAACAAACAAAGAUGAUCAGAAAGACAAAUAAGACAAGACAACGUUUAAUAGAAAUUAAAGGAGAACUAUUUAGAAGUGAACCAGAACUGAAGAAACUAAAGAAAGAACACAGCAAACUAAAUGAAAAAAUAACCUGUCUCAAGAACGCAGUUCAGUUUAUCAAAGAUUUAAAGAGUCUGCAGCAAAUGAAGGAUGAAAAGGAGAACUCACAAGAAAAAUUAGGAACUAUUCAGUGGCACUGAAAAAAAAUGGACUUAACAAUUAUCCCAGUUCUGGCUGUGCAGUGUCCAAUUCAUGACUAUGACAUUGCAGUGAGCCACUCACAAGAUUGCCAUUUGCAAUUUACCCUGCAGGCUUCAGACAAGCAAAGUCAAUGGAGAAGUCAGCAGGUAUGGCAUUUCCAGCCUUCCUGCGCUUCUGAUGGAGUCACGAAGAAUUUUAGGAGCAGAAAGUCACUUACAGAAUAUCAACACAAAAUUACAGGAAAGUUUGGAAUUGCAAAAAACCAACUAAAUAUUCAUACUAUAAAUUACUAUAAAUUCUGUGUUAUCAGAUGUACAAUGUAUUAAAAUACAAAGUUGAAGCUGAAGUAAGAAAAUUGUAAAUAAUUGGAUUUUUUUCAGUGAUCUAAACUCCAUAAAUUCCUUUUGGCAUGCUUACUGGUAUAUUUAGAAUUCAAAUAAAAAUAAAAAUAUUUUGUUUGGCAAAGAAGAAAUUAUGAGGCAAUAAAACAGACCAUUGAAUCAUAAAUAUAGUAUUUUAAUAGAUUUACUUUGUGUGAGAGAGCAA